GUGGAUUAGAUACCCUGGUAGUCCACGCCGUAAACGAUGUGAACUAGAUGCAGGUGGUGUUGAUCCCAUCUGUGUCGCAGCUAACGCAUUAAGUUCACCGCCUGGGGAGUACGGUCGCAAGAUUAAAACUCAAAGGAAUUGACGGGGGCCCGCACAAGCGGUGGAGUAUGUGGUUUAAUUCGAUGCAACGCGAAGAACCUUACCUGGUCUUGACAUCCCGGAGAUCUCCAGGAAACUGGGGAGUGCUUCCAUUAGGAAGAAUCUGGAGACAGGUGCUGCACGGCCGUCGCCAACU
Molecule: ribosomal RNA, 295 nt
Filed under: uncultured bacterium
Lineage: Bacteria
Description: partial 16S ribosomal RNA
Rfam family: Bacterial small subunit ribosomal RNA
Source: RNAcentral